This is a non-coding RNA of Drosophila kikkawai, 522 nucleotides long. The record is from RefSeq and is a predicted model, not a curated record. NCBI's taxonomy places the organism in Eukaryota, Metazoa, Arthropoda, Insecta, Diptera, Drosophilidae.
GAAAAUGUGCUUUAGACAUGGCCGAAAUGUUCAUGUUUGAUUAUUGGCCCUUUGUGAAUCUAAUUGCAAGGCAUUGCCUUGUCGGCUAUACCCUGACACGCGCGAGAAUUUUCGGUCUUCGGUUUUGUCUUCUAAUUCUCUUUGCAUUUUGAGUUGACUGCUGUUGCAUUCAGAUGUGUUUUGCGUAUAGUUGCGUAAAAAUGAAAUAUUAUAAGGUAAGUGGAACUUAUUUGCAUUCAAUUAUUAAUUUUAAUUGCAGAAUUGACGAUUAAAAUGGAUGCGACUUCAACCUAGACGGUGUGAAUGGGAUUCAGUACGGAUUUACAAAGUUUUUUUAUCCAGUUUAAGUUGAUAAAACAAGUUUCUUAAAGGACCCAGCAGCCGGCAAAGGAGACUCGUGACACGCACUUAUGUACAUACAUAUGUACAUAUGUAUGUACAUAUGUACAUAUGUAUACAUGUUUAAUUUUGGAGAACAAUUUAAUGCUACCAAAAAAGUGAAGAUAAAUAAAAACAUGCAAU